ACUCCUACGGGAGGCAGCAGUGGGGAAUAUUGCACAAUGGGCGCAAGCCUGAUGCAGCCAUGCCGCGUGUGUGAAGAAGGCCUUCGGGUUGUAAAGCACUUUCAGCAGUGAGGAAGGCGGGUAGUGUUAAUAGCAUAUUCGUUUGUACGUUAGCUGCAGAAGAAGCACCGGCUAACUCCGUGCCAGCAGCCGCGGUAAUACGGAGGGUGCGAGCGUUAAUCGGAAUUACUGGGCGUAAAGCGCAUGCAGGUGGUUUGUUAAGUUCAGAUGUGAAAGCCCGGGGCUCAACCUCGGAAUAGCAUUUGAAACUGGCAGACUAGAGUACUGGUAGAGGGGGUAGGAAUUUCAGGUGUAGCGGUGAAAUGCGUAGAGAUCUGAAGGAAUACCGGUGGCGAACGGCGGCCCCCGUGGACAGAUACUGACACUCAGAUGCGAAAGCGUGGGAGCAAACAGGAUUAGAUACCCCUGGUAGCGACUGA
Molecule: ribosomal RNA, 479 nt
Filed under: uncultured bacterium
Lineage: Bacteria
Description: bacterial SSU rRNA
Rfam family: Bacterial small subunit ribosomal RNA
Source: RNAcentral